Momordica charantia (bitter melon) is the source of this 2748-nucleotide RNA transcript. It is a transcript of the gene named 2-oxoglutarate (2OG) and Fe(II)-dependent oxygenase superfamily protein, with no coding region annotated. The record is from RefSeq and is a predicted model, not a curated record. Lineage: Eukaryota; Viridiplantae; Streptophyta; Magnoliopsida; Cucurbitales; Cucurbitaceae.
AUUUCCCCCGUGAUUUACAGAAAACGCCAUUUCGGACAGUAACGCUUCGCUAACGCACCAAAUGGAAGGGGCAGAAAACGGCGCAAACUUCUUGGUCAAAUUGACUCUCUGAGGUCGCUAUUCUCCGCGAACUCGAAUUUGGAUCCUCUUUUUGUCACAAAUCUCCUUCUCUUCCCUCUCCAAUCUGUCAUUUUUUCAACUUUUUCACGUCGAUUUUGAUCUACGCUCCAGCAGUCGCAGUUAAGAACACAAGCCAAGGCAAACGGCCACUGCUCCGACGCUUUCGCAACCUUACGCCAUGCUCCGGCGAGUAGGGGACACUCGCCUUAUUCAGUGCAGAGUUGCUUGAAUUGAGUUGUUCGGCCAUUGAAACCAUUCCAUUUCAUGGCAGGCAAUGGCCUGCCAUCAUUGGGUCGUGUGAAGCUUACUGAUAUAGCACCAUCUGAAGGCGUUCCUUCUGAGUCAUUCAAACUGUCGGUCUCAACACUCUCACAGUCACUAGCUCAAUAUUCUGCUGCCAUAAUUCAAUUCCCUGCAUGUGAUGGGGCUCUUUUAAGGUCUGGUUUGGAUUCUGCUCGCCUCUACUUCCACCAAAGAGCUGCUUGUCCAUCUGCUGAAUUGAUGCAAAACAAUGAUUCACGGGAGUGGUGCAGAACUUCUGGUUACUAUGUAGAUUCUCAGAUGUGGCAAGAAAUGUAUGAUUAUAGGCCUGGACUUACUCCAGUUGAGCCCAGCAAUUCAAUAGAGUUACCACCAGCUGGUUUGCCAGACAUAUUUGCACUCUAUGGAAAGGCAUCUCGAAUUAUUUUGGAUGCAAUCAGCUUCUAUCUAAACUUGCGCAGCUCUCCUUUCACCGAGAUACUCGAUAAUGUUCCCCUAAGAAGUAGGGAGAUAUCAUCUUCUGUAUUGUCUGUGUGCUGUCAUGGGAGGCCCUCAUUUCAUGGAGAGCAUCACCAUAAAUUAACUGCUCAAGAGGAUAGCCAGUUGUCUAUGUAUCCCGCUGACCACGAGCAUCAAAUUGAUAAGAGCCUUAUUACUCUGGUCAAGUCGGAUAAGGCAGGUUUACUAAUAAAAGAUUUCAAUGGUAGAUGGAUUCUUGUGGAUGGAGAUCUUGGUCCUCAAGAUGCCAUAGUGUACCCUGGACUUGCACUUUAUCAAGCAACGGCAGGGUAUGUGAAUCCUGCUUUGCUCAGAACAGACGUAAAUAAUAUUCAAGGUAGUAUGUACGGACGGUGUUCUUCGUCAUUCAAACUUAUGCCUAAGUCAAUGACUAGCCUCAGUUGUUCUGAAAUGAGGGCAGCUGGCCAUGGGGUUGAUGUUCAGUUCCAGCUUCCAGUACCAGUGGAUGACUUCAUGCAGAGGUCACCCUCGACCGAUCAACUCUUUAACCGUCCGAAUUUUCAGAAUUUCAGUUUCUCUACGUCCCAAGAUGGAUCCAUAAAAAUGAGGAGGAGAAAGAACAAUUCAACUACUAAACCUCUACCCCCUUCUAAGAGAUUACGGCUUGAGGCACAAAGGGUUCUGAAGGAGAGAGUACAGGACAUUGCGGAUAAGAAGGGUAUCAAAUUGAGGUUCUGCAACCUGAAGGAAUGUGAGAGUCACAUUCACACGUUAGAUAGCCCAUGUGCUAGUACAAGAAUCGAGAUUGGAUGGCCUCCUGGAGUGCCGUUCGUUCAUCCUCACGAUCUACCUAAUAAGGCAAAAAUUGGUUUUCUUGAAGCUUACGAGCCCGGUUGGACAGCUAGUCAUGACAUCGAAUUAAGUCUUACUGAACCUGGACAAGUGGGUCAACAAUCAACCAACUAAUCGUGUUCAAACUUUAUUUGUUAAUUUUCGUCCAUCGACUGAAACUGCUCAGCGUUUUGAAUUGGCUGCCAAAAUUUGUCCAAGAAAAUUUUAUGAAGCAUUCAGGAAGAUCAAUUUUAGUGGUCAACAGAAGAGAUAUUAAAGCUAUAUAAUGCUGCAUUGCUGUGCCUUAGGCAUGCAUUCACGAGUAUAGAAAAUUUGAUAUAUGAUUCGAAGUCGUGUCCAUGUUUGAUGGCAGUGGGAAUCAUUGACAGAGAUUACUUUGGUACUCAAGUGAUUGGGGGCCAAGAGCAUAUAAUUCCUUGAAGCUUGAAGAUCAUUGUGCUGGAUCUUUUGAACUCCAUGCAUGAACCAGUCCAUGUUCUGUACAGCUUGCGAUUGAUUCUCGAGGCCUCGUAGCUUGCAACUCCAAACCAGUUCCAUUCAUGACUAUUGAUCAGCUCAUCAUACCUGUGCCCUGAUUAUCGUUUCCAUGCCCAACUUCUACAUAGCAUGCCCAUUUCCAUCUCCAGCAAAGACUCUACAUAUGUGUUCUUUUGUGGGUAAGCUGGUUUCAUCUUCUUAUAUUUGUUGGAGCCUGGAGGAUAGAUCUUGAAGAGAAAGGGGUUUGUUAAGUUAAGCUAACCGGUCAUGAUAAUGGAGUGGAAAAAACUAUUUCAUUUGGAGAUAUAGUUGAGAAUUUUCUGAUGAAAGUCACUCAUACCUUCAUGUUCCUAGACUAGUGUAGCUGCUGCUUUAGUCAAUAUGAUCUGUAAAAUUUGGGAAAUAUGAUAAAAAGCAGAAAUAUACAAACUUGAGGUUGCUGAAGAAAUAUUCCCUGUUCUUGUUAUAUUCUUGAUAUUUCCCCAUUUUUACUGGUGGAUUGUGCAGAUAUCGAACUCAAGCUCGCCAUGAUAAAUCUCUUUCGUUUUUCAUCUUUUAUGAUAUUUUUGCCAUUUGAGA